UAAACAUUCAUGAAAAGUUUGUGAAUGGGCAACACCAAUUUUGAUAGUGAACAACUAAAUAUGUUACACACUGGACCUUUAAUAGUAGGUGCAGAAAAAAGCUGUCCA
This is a long non-coding RNA of Etheostoma spectabile (orangethroat darter), 108 nucleotides long. RefSeq lists it as uncharacterized. NCBI's taxonomy places the organism in Eukaryota, Metazoa, Chordata, Actinopteri, Perciformes, Percidae. The transcript is spliced from 4 exons. The record is from RefSeq and is a predicted model, not a curated record.